GAUGAACGCUGGCGGCGUGCUUAACACAUGCAAGUCGAACGGGAAACCUUUUAUUGCAGCUUCGGCAGAUUUAGCUGGUUUCUAGUGGCGGACGGGUGAGUAACGCGUGGGUAACCUGCCUUAUACAGGGGGAUAACAGUCAGAAAUGGCUGCUAAUACCGCAUAAGCGCACAGAGCUGCAUGGCUCAGUGUGAAAAACUCCGGUGGUAUAAGAUGGACCCGCGUUGGAUUAGCUGGUUGGUGGGGUAACGGCCCACCAAGGCGACGAUCCAUAGCCGGCCUGAGAGGGUGAACGGCCACAUUGGGACUGAGACACGGCCCAGACUCCUACGGGAGGCAGCAGUGGGGAAUAUUGCACAAUGGGGGAAACCCUGAUGCAGCGACGCCGCGUGAAGGAAGAAGUAUCUCGGUAUGUAAACUUCUAUCAGCAGGGAAGAUAAUGACGGUACCUGACGAAGAAGCCCCGGCUAACUACAUG
This 478-nucleotide ribosomal RNA is filed under the name uncultured bacterium. Its description in RNAcentral is "partial 16S ribosomal RNA". It matches the Rfam family "Bacterial small subunit ribosomal RNA", at positions 28 to 507 of the family's 1533-position model. The record is from RNAcentral.